GUCAGGAUGGCCGAGUGGUCUAAGGCGCCAGACUCAAGAACCAACAGUUCUUCGCUGCAAUGCGGUGUUGAGUAUUCUGGUCUCCGAAUGGAGGCGUGGGUUCGAAUCCCACUUCUGACA
This is a non-coding RNA of Ciona savignyi (Pacific transparent sea squirt), 120 nucleotides long. NCBI's taxonomy places the organism in Eukaryota, Metazoa, Chordata, Ascidiacea, Phlebobranchia, Cionidae. The record is from Rfam.